Molecule: ribosomal RNA, 492 nt
Filed under: uncultured Pseudomonadota bacterium
Lineage: Bacteria; Pseudomonadati; Pseudomonadota
Description: bacterial SSU rRNA
Rfam family: Bacterial small subunit ribosomal RNA
Source: RNAcentral
UGGGGAAUAUUGGACAAUGGGGGCAACCCUGAUCCAGCAAUGCCGCGUGAGUGAAGAAGGCCUUAGGGUUGUAAAGCUCUUUCGCCCGUGACGAUGAUGACGGUAACGGGAGAAGAAGCCCCGGCUAAUUCCGUGCCAGCAGCCGCGGUAAUACGGAAGGGGCUAGCGUUGUUCGGAUUUACUGGGCGUAAAGCGCAUGUAGGCGGCGGAUCAAGUGAGGCGUGAAAGGCCUGGGCUCAACCUGGGAACGGCGCUUCAGACUGGUUUGCUGGAGUUCGGGAGAGGGUGGUGGAAUUCCCAGUGUAGAGGUGAAAUUCGUAGAUAUUGGGAGGAACACCGGUGGCGAAGGCGGCCACCUGGCCCGAGACUGACGCUCAAGUGCGAAAGCGUGGGGAGCAAACAGGAUUAGAUACCCUGGUAGUCCACGCUGUAAACGAUGGGUGCUAGAUGUCGGGGGCUUGCCCUUCGGUGUCGCAGCUAACGCGUUAAGCA